This 178-nucleotide non-coding RNA is filed under the name Sporosarcina newyorkensis. Lineage: Bacteria; Bacillati; Bacillota; Bacilli; Caryophanales; Caryophanaceae. The record is from RNAcentral.
AUAGUAUUUUGAUGAAUCGGUACCGACAACGGUUUAAAAGGGAAUCCGCUGAAAACGGAGCUGCCCCCGCAACUGAUGGUAUUGACGACUGUCCGUAAUCAUCCACUGCCAUAGGCGGGAAGGAUGGACAGAAGAGAGACAUGCCAGCCAGGAGACCUGCCAUUCAUCAUGCAAUACA